GGGAGGAUGGCCGAGUGGUUAAGGCGCUGUGUUUAGGCCGCAGUGGGAAACCUCGUGGGUUCGAAUCCCACUCCUCUCA
RNAcentral lists this transfer RNA (79 nucleotides) under Cyphellophora europaea CBS 101466. Its description in RNAcentral is "tRNA-Leu (TAG) (tRNA-Leu-TAG-1-1)". It matches the Rfam family "tRNA". From Rfam's summary of the family: Transfer RNA (tRNA) molecules are approximately 80 nucleotides in length. Their secondary structure includes four short double-helical elements and three loops (D, anti-codon, and T loops). Lineage: Eukaryota; Fungi; Ascomycota; Eurotiomycetes; Chaetothyriales; Cyphellophoraceae. The record is from RNAcentral.